Molecule: long non-coding RNA, 1560 nt
Organism: Zalophus californianus (California sea lion)
Lineage: Eukaryota; Metazoa; Chordata; Mammalia; Carnivora; Otariidae
Exons: 4
Source: RefSeq, a predicted model, not a curated record
GUUCUGAUCUGUCAUGAGAAGACUGCUUUUAUUAACUUAAGCUCCUAUCAAGGGCGACUCUAAAAGGAUCAGCCCCCCAAAAGAAACGGAUUCCUUACCGGCAGCCCCGAGGAUGAGGAAUUUCCCCAAAGCCAGUUCCUACCUUCCACCAGGAGAGUUGCCAUAAAAAUAGAUGAAAGCUAAGAGACAAUGAAGAGAUCUGUGGAGGCCUCCACCUCAGGGCUCCCAUCCUCUCAGUCUGGGUCCACCCAAGAUGGUUGGCGUAUCUUUACCCCAUUUGCCGAGAGGACCGUACAAAACCUGGUGAUGUUUGGGGGUACAUUUGCCCAGGCCUGCUGAAGGAGGAAGGGGAAAAAAAUUGUUUUUGGUCUGGUUAAAGCUAUCCAUGAGCCACAGGGAAGAUUUCAAAGACUCAGGAUCUUGCUCCUAAAACAACACCAUGGAGUGGUGAUGGGAAACAGCGAGGCUGCGAGAGUAAAACAGAGCUUCUCCAGACCUUUCCCUCCUGCAGAGGCCAGACCUGCAUUUUUGCCUUCAUUCCACAGAGAUGUACUGAGUUACUACUACACCCCCACCCCCCGGUGCCAUGGCACAGUGCAGGGCUGAGGGCUCAGGCUCUCAGAAUGCUUGAUUUGAAUCCUCGCUCUGCUGGCCACCCCGGGGAAGUGACCUGACUCUGGGCCUCAGCUUCCUGGUCUGGAAAGCAGGAUCGCGAUAGCACCAUUCCUUUAGAGUGAGGUAAGGAUUAACUGAAGUCAUUCCUAAGGUCUUAGAACAACCACAGGCACAUAGUAAGUACUCAGUAUGUGUUGAUUGUUGCUAGUAUUAUUCCUGUGCUAGGCACAUGUGGGUCUCUGGUCGUGAAGGUGGUCACGAGCUGGUUGAGACGGAUGUUCCCACGUAAACACAAAAAGUAUGACAAGGAGUAUGGCCGAUGAGGUACCAAUUGAAUGGAAAAGAAUUCAGUUCUAAGGAACAGGCAGAGGGCAAGAUUGCUGUGUCAGGAGAAGGCUUCACAGAGGAAGGAAGGCUUAAGCUGGGCUUGCAAGAUGUGCAAAAUUUGGCUGGACCACAAAAAGGCAUGACAGAGGUGGGGAGAGCUCCAGGCAAGGGGCUAGAGCCCCAAGAAUCCACAAGAAUUAAGCUAGAAGUCCAAGCAUUAUGCAACGCUGAUGCUUUCAAGACUGCAAGCCAAACCUCUUCAAUUAAGAUUUCCAAAUCAAAAUGUUGGCCUUUCUUAUAGAGAAAAAAAUAUUGAUUUGUGUUAACUUCAUCUGACAAAACAAUGUUACAAAGCAAGGGCAACAGAGCUUAUUGUGAAGAGAACCAGAAGAGGCAUGGAUCUAUUAUAAAUAGAGCUUCGAUUUAUAAAAGGGGAGGAUGGAUAUAUUUGACAGAGAUGUCACUGAAAUAAAAUCAUAUUGAUUGGUGAGGUAAAAAGUAUUCUGCCCAAAAAGUGUUCUAUUCGUUCAAUCAUUCUUCGAAUAGGUAUUGAGUAUUUACUGUGUCCCAGGCAUUCAGGGGGGACUCUGGUAGUGACAAUAAACAUGGAUUCUGCUA